CCUACGGGGUGCAGCAGUGGGGAAUAUUGGACAAUGGGGGGAACCCUGACCGAGCAACGCCGCGUGAGUGAAGAAGUAUUUCGGUAUGUAAAGUUCUAUCAGCAGGGAAGAAAAUGACGUUCCCUGGUUACGAAUCCCCGCAUACCUACGUGCCAGCAGCCGCGGUAAUACGUAGGGGGCAAGCUUUAUCCGGAUUUACUGGGUGUAAAGGGAGCGUAGACGGGGGAGCAAGUCUAAUGUGAAAGGUCGGGGCCGAACCCCGGGACUGCAUUGGAAACUGUGGAACUGGAGUACAGGAGAGGUAAGCGGAAUUCCUAGUGUAGCGGUGAAAUGCGUAGAUAUUAGGAGGAACACCAGUGGCGAAGGCGGCUUACUUGACUGUAACUGACGUUGAGGCUCGAAAGCGUGGGGAGCAAACAGGAUUAGAUACCCUGGUAGUC
RNAcentral lists this ribosomal RNA (440 nucleotides) under uncultured bacterium. RNAcentral's name for it is "partial 16S ribosomal RNA". It matches the Rfam family "Bacterial small subunit ribosomal RNA", at positions 338 to 795 of the family's 1533-position model. The record is from RNAcentral.